AUUGAACGCUGGCGGCAGGCCUAACACAUGCAAGUCGAGCGGAUGAAGGGAGCUUGCUCCUGGAUUCAGCGGCGGACGGGUGAGUAAUGCCUAGGAAUCUGCCUGGUAGUGGGGGAUAACGUCCGGAAACGGGCGCUAAUACCGCAUACGUCCUGAGGGAGCAAGUGGGGGAUCUUCGGACCUCACGCUAUCAGAUGAGCCUAGGUCGGAUUAGCUAGUUGGUGGGGUAAAGGCCUACCAAGGCGACGAUCCGUAACUGGUCUGAGAGGAUGAUCAGUCACACUGGAACGGAGACACGGUCCAGACUCCUACGGGAGGCAGCAGCGGGGAAUAUUGGACAAUGGGCGAAAGCCUGAUCCAGCCAUGCCGCGUGUGUGAAGAAGGUCUUCGGAUUGUAAAGCACUUUAAGUUGGGAGGAAGGGCAGUAAGUUAAUACCUUGCUGUUUUGACGUUACCAACAGAAUAAGCACCGGCUAACUUCGUG
This 484-nucleotide ribosomal RNA is filed under the name uncultured bacterium. RNAcentral's name for it is "partial 16S ribosomal RNA". It matches the Rfam family "Bacterial small subunit ribosomal RNA", at positions 30 to 507 of the family's 1533-position model. The record is from RNAcentral.